AAAAGUUAGUUAAAUUGAAAGAUACUUGCAUGAAAAAAAUCCAUAAAAUUUAGAAUCGUGAAAAAGAGAGGAAGGAUCUAUGGAAUAUUACAUAAGGCGACAAAACGUGAAUAUUUAACUGAAAUUCUUCAAAGUUAUACUUCAGUUAUAUACUUUUGCUGCAAAAUAUGACAUAAAAUUUAUCAAAGAAAAUGUUUUGCUGAUCUCUGAAUCAAUACUAUAAUAAAAUAAUUGCACUGUAAUUUUCCUACCCCAUACAGCACAUAUCUUUCAGAAAGCUUUCUGAAAGAUAUCGGAAAAAUAUCUUCUGUCAGAUAUCUUUCAGAAACCUUUCUGAAAGAUGUUGUGCUAUAUGGGACAUUAUCGAAAUCUAGCAAAAAUAGAUUAGUCGAGAUUCUCCUGGGCCUAUUCUUAUUUUUUUUCCCCCCAGUUCUAUUUGGCUCGUGGUGCACCGCUACUUCCUCUUGCCAUUUAUCUUGUAAAUUAUUAUUUUUAGCAACUGCACAGGCUUACAUUGUAUACAAAUGAGUAAUAUACCGACUAUACCGAUUGAAUUAGAACAAUGUAAUGGCAAAAUUAUGAGAUCUUUCUACGUAUCUCAUUUAUGAGAUUUUUUUAUCGAUCUGUAGCAUCGAUGCAUUCCUGUGUAUAGGUUGCAUUUUGUACGUCUUUAUAAAUAUUUGAUCAAUUUAAGAGGGAAAUAACAUUGUCGCCUUUGUAUUGCUUGUACGUACGAUUUGAAAGCUAAAUAGAAUUAUUGUUAAAUAUAUUUCCCUGGAUUUCUUUCUACCCGGCAAAGUUGCCAAUUCCAACACACUGGCCACCAUCGCGCCACUGUGCUAACGGGUCCUAGCUAAUGGUCCUUGGUCAUAAGAUUUGCUGUGGUGAGGAUAGUUUUUUGCGAACCAGCUGUUUUUGCAAACCAGUUUUGGAUAGCUUUGGUUUCCGGUUUUCGGGAGUGUUUUUCUAAUAAAGUUUUUCCAUUUCUUGAAAAUGUAUCGUUACUUUCUGUGAGAUUCAGGAAUGCCGUGUGCGUGAUACGCAAAAAUGCGUCUCGGGGUUAACAGAAUUACGUUAAUAACGAGAAAAAGACAAAUUCGAGAAAUUCCCAAUUGCUAAUGCUAAAUGCGCAAACGACUUUAACUCGGAAUUUAAGUAGCUGAAUAAUAUAUUUUAUACCUAAAUAUGAUACAUAUAUAUGUCACAUUGAAAAUAAAGCAAAUUAAACUAAAUUUAUAAACACGCGAAAUAUAGUAAAAUAAAUAAUGUAACCACACUUUUCGAAUUAAGGAUUAAAGUGGCCGGUAAUUGUUUUAGCUUUUAAAUCUCGGCAUUAACGUAUACGUUGUUAUAUAUGCAUUGAUGCGUAUAUACAGCAAGAGAUCCUAAGACUAUAAGUUUUUUUGCUCAUUAUAAAGCUUCUCAACCAGGUAGCUGCUAGCUGAUUGUGAUCUCCUUAGGAAAUAUUUAAUAUUUUCUAUUUGCGCAUUCUUAAAUUUAACGUAAUAAACGCAUUUAGCGUAAAAACGGCGUGUUUUCAAUGUCCAAGAUGGCGAUUAACCACGGCCGAAGCGAUGCGACGCGUGCGUUUAGCAAGGAGGAAAGAACUAAUAAAUUAGAAGGCAUUUAGCCAAAAUAAAAGUCUCUAAGGCGUUUCAUUACAUUUAAGUUGGCGGUAUCGUCCCUAUUUUUGCGUGUACGAGGACGUAUAUGCUAUCGAUUCCGUUGCAGUUAAAAUUGCGACGAUGAAAGUCAUGUAGUGGCGGUGUUGUUGCCGUUUAAUAAAUUAUGGAAAAAAAUAUCGCGUGUAGUAAGGGUACGAGUUUGUAACGAACGCGUUGCUCCAGUGAUCCCCGCGAUAGAACAAAGGAGAAAUGAGCUUUCGCAGAGAGCUGCAUGGAGCUUUACAUUACGCCGUAGCAGCAGUUAACGCAACACAACAAAAAAUACAGUUUUCUACAUCGCUGCAACUUCAGAACAAGAAACUGACCUGAAGUUUUUUCAUUUUUAAGAUAUUCCAGCCAAUUACGCGGCAGAGAGUAGCGGUUCUAUCCGGGAAGGAAGGAAGGAAGGAAGACGAGCGUGAGGCGCGCGCGGUUGAGAGACGGCAACCGACCGAGCCAACGUGGUGAGAAGCGAAAAAGCUAGAACUACGUUGUAACGCUACAGUCAUUCAAAUCGGUCUAAGUGUACCACACGCUUUAAUUUAUUAUUAUAAUUUAUUUCAAAAAAUUUAAGAAUAGAAUAAUAUUAGAGUUACAUUUGAAAUUAAAAUUGCAAUUAAGAUGAAAAUCACAUUUUAACUGAAAUUAGAUAUAAAAUUAAGAUUUGAAAUAAAAGUAAAAUUAAAAUUUAAAAUAAUUUAAAUUAAAUUUUACUUAUUAUCAGAAUUUAAUUUUUUUAGCAACAAUAGGACCUGACACUAAUUAAGUGUGACCACAUGAUUUUAACCUAUCAAUGUAUUUUGAUUUCUAAUCUAUAUCAGAUCGUAAAAGAUAGCAAUUUGUCGGUUUGCUUCAUUGCCGAAGGCGUGUUUGAUUUCAUGAUAUCUACAAUGUGUAUUGGAGAAAUGUUAUUUUAUCAUGAGAAGAUGUAACUACAUACACACACAUACACAGAAUAUAUACAAUAUAUUUAUAAGUACAAAUAUACAUAGUGUCUACAAUAUAAAGUCUAUCCUUAUUCUUAUACUUUGCAAACAGUUUAAAAUUAAAACCACGAAAUACAUGUUCGAUCAUUUUAAGAGACUAUACUUUAUCGUCUAAUUCGUCCCUAUUAAAAAAGUAGCCUCUCGCAAUAAUCAAAUACGUAUUUCGCGAUUUUUUAUAAUUUUGAAUCAUUUUUGAAGUAUAUGUAUAGGUAGGGAUAGAUUUUGUAGACACUAUGUAUAUUUGUAUUUAUAAUAUAUUAUAUAUUAUAUAUUAUACAUUAUAUAUACAAUAUAUUGUAUAUUAGGUGUACAAAUAAGUUUCCGCCGUUUUUUAUAAAAAAUUGGGCAUUUAUGAUUUCAACCGAUAUGAAAUUGCUUGUUGAGUCACCCCUAAUGUAAGUGCAAGUUCUUCUUGCGUUUAGCACGAAUCUUGAUCCAAUAAUGUUUCCAAUUCUGCGUCUUCGUACACUUUCGGCCUUCCCUCCUUACAUUCUUUGUCUUUGAUGUCUCAAAUUUACGUUCUUAAACUUUUGAAACCACUCACGAUAACUUCUCUCACUUAAGGCAGCUUCACCAUAUGCUUCUACAAGCAAUCGAUGCGCCUCAGCUGCAGAUUUCUUCAAAUUGAAGAAGUAAAUCAAAAGUUCCCGCAAAUAACGCUUAUUAUUCGGCUCAAAACUCGACAUUUUCGCAUACAAAAAAAUAUAUUAACUGAUAAAAAUUUACUAGUAUUUCAAGGUUGUUGACAGAUGUCCAACCUUACGAUAAUGCGUUUUACAUUUGACAAUUUUAACCAUAACUUACUGGUGACGCCAACUUUUGUCAAAAGGCGGAAACUUAUUUGUACACCUAUGCAAUUGCACAUAAGAUGAUCAAUGAUGUAAUGCAGCAUAAAAACUAUAUAUUUAGUCCUCGUAUUAAAAAUAAUACGAGGACGAAUACGAACUAAAAACAAUCAGAACAGGAUAUAUAACACUUAAUUUAAUUUCUACGAAAUUUAUGAUAUAUCUUGUGUGAUAAUAUAAUUCGAUAUGAUUUUAUAGAGGUAGUAAAAUAAAAUCUGCAACGUUUCAAUUCGUUUAAAUCGUAAUUGUUAUAUUAUAUAUAUAUUACUGUAGAUUUAGAUACUAUUUGUUGUAUGUAAAAUAUUGUCUUUUUCAGAGGCAUACAUGUAAUAAAAUUUAAUCGACAUCUAUAUGACUGCAUUCUAGAGAGAAUAUACAUACAUCUACAGAAAUCGUGGAUUGUAACUUUGUGAAACGCAUGCAUGCGGGUACGGGCAUCAUGUGGAGAAUUGCAGACACUCCUACUCUUACAUAAACCAAAUACACGUAAGCCAGAUUAGAGAAUCAUAACAUACCUCUAUUCUUCUUAGAGCUUUGAUUCGUCUAAAGUGAAAUGUUGACUAAUCUGGCUGGAGAACGACUUCAUUUAUAUGAAUUCGUGUGUAUCGAAGCAUUUAAAUAGUUUUUACAUCUGUCUUUAAUAGGCAAUUGUAAAAUAUGGAAAUAAUGAUAUUUUUUUACUUUAAUGCAACUCUUCAUCAUUCGCUAUUUCAAUUGCGUAUUGCUCUUUUGAUUCAAAAUUUUGUUUAAAAUGAUCAAUAAAUCUUGUUUUUCUUAUACUUUUAUGAAAAUAAGUUAAAUAAUUAAAAAGAUAUACGAUGACGAAAAGAAAAUAAGAGAAAGUAGUCGGUAUAAGUAAAUACUGAACACGUGCGAGCGAAAA
Monomorium pharaonis (pharaoh ant) is the source of this 4378-nucleotide long non-coding RNA. RefSeq lists it as uncharacterized. Lineage: Eukaryota; Metazoa; Arthropoda; Insecta; Hymenoptera; Formicidae. The record is from RefSeq and is a predicted model, not a curated record. The transcript is spliced from 3 exons.